UACGUAGGGUGCGAGCGUUAAUCGGAAUUACUGGGCGUAAAGCGUGCGCAGGCGGUGAGUUAAGUCUGAUGUGAAAGCCCCGGGCUCAACCUGGGAACGGCAUUGGAAACUGGCUCGCUGGAGUGUGGCAGAGGGGGGUGGAAUUCCGCGUGUAGCAGUGAAAUGCGUAGAGAUGCGGAGGAACACCGAUGGCGAAGGCAGCCCCCUGGGCCAACACUGACGCUCAGGCACGAAAGCGUGGGGAGCAAAC
RNAcentral lists this ribosomal RNA (250 nucleotides) under uncultured archaeon. RNAcentral's name for it is "partial 16S ribosomal RNA". It matches the Rfam family "Bacterial small subunit ribosomal RNA", at positions 524 to 773 of the family's 1533-position model. The record is from RNAcentral.